This 844-nucleotide ribosomal RNA is filed under the name uncultured bacterium. RNAcentral describes it as "bacterial SSU rRNA". It matches the Rfam family "Bacterial small subunit ribosomal RNA", at positions 551 to 1395 of the family's 1533-position model. The record is from RNAcentral.
UGACUGGGCGUAAAGGGCAUGUAGGUGGGUCAUUAAGUUAGGUGUGAAAUCCCCGGGCUCAACCUUGGAACAGCACUUAAAACUGGUGGUCUAGAGUAUUGUAGAGGAAGGUAGAAUUCCAUGUGUAGCGGUGAAAUGCGUAGAGAUGUGGAGGAAUACCGGUGGCGAAGGCGGCCUUCUGGACAAAUACUGACGCUGAGAUGCGAAAGCGUGGGGAGCAAACAGGAUUAGAUACCCUGGUAGUCCACGCUGUAAACGAUGUCGAUUUGGAGUUUGGUGGCAUGACUGCUGGGCUCCGAAGCUAACGCGUUAAAUCGACCGCCUGGGGAGUACGGCCGCAAGGUUAAAACUCAAAUGAAUUGACGGGGGCCCGCACAAGCGGUGGAGCAUGUGGUUUAAUUCGAUGCAACGCGAAGAACCUUACCUGGUCUUGACAUCCACAGAAUUUUGUAGAGAUACGAAAGUGCCUUAGGGAGCUGUGAGACAGGUGCUGCAUGGCUGUCGUCAGCUCGUGUUGUGAAAUGUUGGGUUAAGUCCCGCAACGAGCGCAACCCUUAUCCUUUGUUGCCAUCGGUUAGGCCGGGAACUCAAAGGAGACUGCCGUUGAUAAAGCGGAGGAAGGUGGGGACGACGUCAAGUCAUCAUGGCCCUUACGACCAGGGCUACACACGUGCUACAAUGGCGCAUACAAAGAGAAGCAAACCAGCGAUGGCAAGCGGACCUCAUAAAGUGCGUCUAAGUUCGGAUUGGAGUCUGCAACUCGACUCCAUGAAGUCGGAAUCGCUAGUAAUCGUGAAUCAGAAUGUCACGGUGAAUACGUUCCCGGGCCUUGUACACACCGCCC